RNAcentral lists this ribosomal RNA (491 nucleotides) under uncultured bacterium. RNAcentral's name for it is "partial 16S ribosomal RNA". It matches the Rfam family "Bacterial small subunit ribosomal RNA", at positions 29 to 507 of the family's 1533-position model. The record is from RNAcentral.
AGUGAACGCUGGCGGUAGGCCUAACACAUGCAAGUCGAACGGCAGCACAGUAAGAGCUUGCUCUUACGGGUGGCGAGUGGCGGACGGGUGAGGAAUACAUCGGAAUCUACUUUUUCGUGGGGGAUAACGUAGGGAAACCUACGCUAAUACCGCAUACGACCUACGGGUGAAAGCAGGGGAUCUUCGGACCUUGCGCGAUUGAAUGAGCCGAUGUCGGAUUAGCUAGUUGGCGGGGUAAAGGCCCACCAAGGCGACGAUCCGUAGCUGGUCUGAGAGGAUGAUCAGCCACACUGGAACUGAGACACGGUCCAGACUCCUACGGGAGGCAGCAGUGGGGAAUAUUGGACAAUGGGCGCAAGCCUGAUCCAGCCAUACCGCGUGGGUGAAGAAGGCCUUCGGGUUGUAAAGCCCUUUUGUUGGGAAAGAAAGCAGCAGGUUAAUACCCCGCUGUUCUGACGGUACCCAAAGAAUAAGCACCGGCUAACUUCGUG